GACGAACGCUGGCGGCGUGCUUAACACAUGCAAGUCGAACGGAAAGGCCCCUUUGGGGGUACUCGAGUGGCGAACGGGUGAGUAACACGUGAGUAACCUGCCCUUGACUUCGGGAUAACUUCAGGAAACUGGGGCUAAUACCGGCUAGGAAUCCUUGCUGCAUGGUGGGGGUUGGAAAGCUUCGGCGGUUUUGGAUGGACUCGCGGCUUAUCAGCUUGUUGGUGGGGUAGUGGCUUACCAAGGCUUUGACGGGUAGCCGGCCUGAGAGGGCGACCGGCCACAUUGGGACUGAGAUACGGCCCAGACUCCUACGGGAGGCAGCAGUGGGGAAGAUUGCACAAUGGGCGGAAGCCUGAUGCAGCAACGCCGCGUGCGGGAUGACGGCCUUCGGGUUGUAAACCGCUUUCAGCAGGGGCGAAGCUUGUGGUGACGGUACCUGCAGAAGAAGCACCGGCUAACUACGUG
RNAcentral lists this ribosomal RNA (465 nucleotides) under uncultured bacterium. Its description in RNAcentral is "partial 16S ribosomal RNA". It matches the Rfam family "Bacterial small subunit ribosomal RNA", at positions 28 to 507 of the family's 1533-position model. The record is from RNAcentral.